AUAUUAGGAUGAUCAAGUAAAUCAGUUCUGCUUCUGUAAUACAGCUGAAGAUAUCCAUUUACCAAAAGACACUUUCUAUUUCUGAUAC
This 88-nucleotide small nucleolar RNA is filed under the name Wallemia mellicola CBS 633.66. RNAcentral also lists the same sequence under 1 other name. The record is from RNAcentral. Lineage: Eukaryota; Fungi; Basidiomycota; Wallemiomycetes; Wallemiales; Wallemiaceae.